RNAcentral lists this ribosomal RNA (553 nucleotides) under uncultured archaeon. Its description in RNAcentral is "bacterial SSU rRNA". It matches the Rfam family "Archaeal small subunit ribosomal RNA", at positions 325 to 879 of the family's 1478-position model. The record is from RNAcentral.
UCGGGGUGCGCAGGCGCGAAAACUUUACAAUGCUGGCAACAGCGAUAAGGGGACCUCGAGUGCCAGGAUACAAUCUUGGCUGUCGCGAUGCCUAAAAAGCAUUGCAUAGCAAGGGCCGGGCAAGACCGGUGCCAGCCGCCGCGGUAACACCGGCGGCUCGAGUGGUAACCGCUAUUAUUGGGUCUAAAGGGUCUGUAGCCGGCCGGAUAAGUCUUUUGGGAAAUCCAGCUGCUCAACAGUUGGGCUUUCAGAAGAUACUGUUCGGCUCGAGGCCGGGAGAGGUGAGAGGUACUUCAGGGGUAGGGGUGAAAUCUUGUAAUCCUUGAAGGACCACCAGUGGCGAAGGCGUCUCACCAGAACGGACCUGACGGCAAGGGACGAAAGCUAGGGGCACGAACCGGAUUAGAUACCCGGGUAGUCCUAGCCGUAAACGAUACUCGCUAGGUGUCAGCCACGGUGCGACCGUGGUUGGUGCCGUAGGGAAGCCGUGAAGCGAGCCACCUGGGAAGUACGGCCGCAAGGCUGAAACUUAAAGGAAUUGGCGGGGGAGCAC